CACUAUGCCUAGCCAUAAACAUUGAUAGUAACCUACACCCACUAUCCGCCCGGGAACUACGAGCAUCAGCUUAAAACCCAAAGGACUUGGCGGUGCUUUAGAUCCACCUAGAGGAGCCUGUUCUAGAACCGAUUACCCCCGUUCAACCUCACCUUUCCUUGUCCCUCCCGCCUAUAUACCACCGUCGUCAGCUUACCCUGUGAAGGACUCAUAGUAAGCAAGAUUGGCAUAGCCCAAAACGUCAGGUCGAGGUGUAGCGUAUGGAAAGGGAAGAAAUGGGCUACAUUCCCUAACACAGGGAACUACGAAUGAUACGCUGAAAUACGUAUCUGAAGGAGGAUUUAGCAGUAAGCAGAAAAAAGAGCGUUCCGCUGAAACCGGCCCUGAAGCGCGCACACACCGCCCGUCACUCUCCCCGAGCUCAUCAACCUUAAAUACCUAAAACCUAAAUACUGCAAAGGGGAGGCAAGUCGUAA
Molecule: ribosomal RNA, 476 nt
Filed under: Caesio teres (yellow and blueback fusilier)
Lineage: Eukaryota; Metazoa; Chordata; Actinopteri; Lutjaniformes; Lutjanidae
Description: partial small subunit ribosomal RNA
Rfam family: Bacterial small subunit ribosomal RNA
Source: RNAcentral